RNAcentral lists this ribosomal RNA (440 nucleotides) under uncultured bacterium. RNAcentral's name for it is "partial 16S ribosomal RNA". It matches the Rfam family "Bacterial small subunit ribosomal RNA", at positions 338 to 795 of the family's 1533-position model. The record is from RNAcentral.
CCUACGGGUGGCAGCAGUGGGGAAUAUUGCACAAUGGGGGAAACCCUGAUGCAGCGACGCCGCGGGAGUGAAGAAGUAAUUCGGUAUGUAAAGCUCUAUCAGCAGGGAAGAAAAUGACGGUACCUGAGUAAGAAGCCCCGGCUAACUACGUGACAGCAGCCGCGGUAAUACGUAGGGUGCAAGGGUUAUCCGGAUUUACUGGGUGUAAAGGGAGCGUAGACGGCAGUGCAAGUCUGGAGUGAAAGGCGGGGGCUCAACCCACGGCCUGAUCUGGAAACUGGACGGCUGGAGUGCAGGAGAGGUAAGUGGAAUUCCUAGUGUAGCGGUGAAAUGCGUAGAUAUUAGGAGGAACACCAGUGGCGAAGGCAGCUUACUGGACUGUAACUGACGUUGAGGCUCGAAAGCGUGGGGAGCAAACAGGAUUAGAUACCCCUGUAGUC